Vicia faba (fava bean) is the source of this 408-nucleotide non-coding RNA. The record is from the annotation of a GenBank genome assembly. NCBI's taxonomy places the organism in Eukaryota, Viridiplantae, Streptophyta, Magnoliopsida, Fabales, Fabaceae.
AUGAAUUUUAUCUCUAAUGAGUUUGGUUUCUACUUUAUCCAAUCACUACCAACAACAACAAAAAAAAACAAACGAUAUCACAAAUCAAAGAAACAGGAAGAAGAAGUAGCUAGCCGCAAACCUGCCAGUCUUAAUCAACAACCUGGAAAACAACAUUAUAAUGAAACAUCACAAGCUGGACAGAGCCCUCCAUCGAUGCAUCAACCCAUCUUCAAUCGGCAUUCGUCGAUGCUACCACAAGAUCCGACGAAUCUGGAGUCCGGCGGUGAGAACUGUACACGUAACUUAGUCGGUGCAAACAUCGACGAGAGCCCUCCAUUUUGCAUACAACAACAACGUCUCCGGAGAUCCACCAUCAAAAUUUCCACGAUCCGACUGUCUCCCCUUCAAAUCCAGAGACAUUUUUAG